UAGCUUGCUACUUUGCCGGCAAGCGGCGGACGGGUGAGAUAAUGUCUGGGAAACUGCCUGAUGGAGGGGGAUAACUACUGGAAACGGUAGCUAAUACCGCAUGACGUCGCAAGACCAAAGUGGGGGACCUUCGGGCCUCACGCCAUCGGAUGUGCCCAGAUGGGAUUAGCUAGUAGGUGAGGUAAUGGCUCACCUAGGCGACGAUCCCUAGCUGGUCUGAGAGGAUGACCAGCCACACUGGAACUGAGACACGGUCCAGACUCCUACGGGAGGCAGCAGUGGGGAAUAUUGCACAAUGGGCGCAAGCCUGAUGCAGCCAUGCCGCGUGUGUGAAGAAGGCCUUAGGGUUGUAAAGCACUUUCAGCGAGGAGGAAGGCGUUGUAGUUAAUAGCUGCAACGAUUGACGUUACUCGCAGAAGAAGCACCGGCUAACUCCGUGCCAGCAGCCGCGGUAAUACGGAGGGUGCAAGCGUUAAUCGGAAUUACUGGGCGUAAAGCGCACGCAGGCGGUUUGUUAAGUCAGAUGUGAAAUCCCCGAGCUUAACUUGGGAACUGCAUUUGAAACUGGCAAGCUAGAGUCUUGUAGAGGGGGGUAGAAUUCCAGGUGUAGCGGUGAAAUGCGUAGAGAUCUGGAGGAAUACCGGUGGCGAAGGCGGCCCCCUGGACAAAGACUGACGCUCAGUGCGAAAGCGUGGGGAGCAAACAGGAUUAGAUACCCCUGGGUAGUCCACGCUGUAAACGAUGUCACUUGGAAGGUUGUGCCCUUGAGGCGUGGGCUUCCGGAGCU
Molecule: ribosomal RNA, 787 nt
Filed under: bacterium spbL4type2-1
Lineage: Bacteria
Description: bacterial SSU rRNA
Rfam family: Bacterial small subunit ribosomal RNA
Source: RNAcentral